CUAUCAAACACCGUAAGGUCCUGUCCCGUUUUUGGCAGGCAUAUUUUGUGAUGCGCUCAGCGUGUCACGACCGGCGCCAAGCCGGCAUUUGACAGUACGGCCGGGUUAUCCCGGC
Molecule: regulatory RNA element, 115 nt
Rfam family: Pseudomon-groES RNA
Source: Rfam